GUAGUAGUGAUUUAUUCCAGAUAAACUGAGCAGACUACUUGAUUAGCAGAUGGCCCACUGUGCUAAGAUUGGGGAACUUGAUUACAAGCUUUCAGGCAUCCUUGAGAAUUUCCAGGAAAAGCUCACAGACUUACCCAUAACCCAGAGGCAACUCUAAGAAAGGAAUGCUCAUGUCCAGAGGGAUUCUCUUACUUGGAUGCAUUGCGUGGUAGAACAGCCUUCCCAGCUUCAACGUGCAGUGUGAACUCCAAUGACUGUCCUAUUACUGUGGCAUUUCUCCUCCAAGGGUGUGCAGCUGAAGACAACGAUGCCUUACAUUUGUAAUGCUAAAGCACAGAAGGCUGAGGCAAGAGGAUUCCCUGAGCUUCAUCGUGGGUGCAGAGCCUGUGCUGCACGGAGAGGCGGAGUCACUGCGUUCGGCCUAAUGUUGGCAGUGGGUAUCUACAUCUGUUUCCCUCAGUUUCUGGAUGGAGGCACUCUGCUGGUACUUAUGCCAUGCUCAGAAAGACAAACAGAAGUUAUUUUCAUGCACUUAGAAAAUUCAAGUCUCAGGAACAUUGUAGGUAUCGAGAGCCUUUUUUUUUUGUUUUGUUUUGUUUUUUUUUACUGAUUCGGGUCAUGACCUGCUGGUGAAGAAAUCUAAGUCUCAUUGCUUCCUGAUCUUCCCACUGUUGCAAGCCAUCCAUACUAAAUAAAAUUCUCUACUGGGAAAACUGGCAAUUAUUCAGGAACACUGGAAAUUGGUUCUGAAUAGCACAGUGGCUUCAGAUUUCUUAGUUUCUGAAAAAUCGUUUUCUCAAAUAUGCUUUCCAUGCACCAAACAUUUCUCUGCUUCAAAGAGCUGUUUACACCUUUAGUCGAAUAAGCAAGUUGGUCAUAAUUAAUUCAAAUUAAAAUGUCUUCUCUCUCGACUCUGAAUAUUUUUUUAGCUGUGAUAUGACACUGUUUUUUAAUCUAAUGAAAAAUUACUUAAUAAA
This is a long non-coding RNA of Mus musculus (house mouse), 977 nucleotides long. RefSeq annotates it as predicted gene, 36438. The transcript has 4 exons. Lineage: Eukaryota; Metazoa; Chordata; Mammalia; Rodentia; Muridae. The record is from RefSeq and is a predicted model, not a curated record.